GAUGAACGCUAGCGACAGGCUUAACACAUGCAAGUCGAGGGGCAGCAUAGAAGUAGCAAUACUUUGGUGGCGACCGGCGCACGGGUGAGUAACGCGUAUGCAACCUACCUAUCAGAGGGGGAUAACCCGGCGAAAGUCGGACUAAUACCGCAUAAAACAGGGGCACCGCAUGGUGAUAUUUGUUAAAGAUUAAUUGCUGAUAGAUGGGCAUGCGUUCCAUUAGGUAGUUGGUGAGGUAAUGGCUCACCAAGCCGACGAUGGAUAGGGGAACUGAGAGGUUGGUCCCCCACACUGGUACUGAGACACGGACCAGACUCCUACGGGAGGCAGCAGUGAGGAAUAUUGGUCAAUGGGCGAGAGCCUGAACCAGCCAAGUCGCGUGAAGGAAGAAGGAUCUAUGGUUCGUAAACUUCUUUUGCAGGGGAAUAAAGUGGAGGACGUGUCCUCUUUUGUAUGUACCCUGAGAAUAAGGAUCGGCUAACUCCGUGCCAGCCGCCGCAGUAA
This 504-nucleotide ribosomal RNA is filed under the name uncultured bacterium. RNAcentral's name for it is "partial 16S ribosomal RNA". It matches the Rfam family "Bacterial small subunit ribosomal RNA", at positions 28 to 523 of the family's 1533-position model. The record is from RNAcentral.